This 493-nucleotide ribosomal RNA is filed under the name uncultured Chloroflexota bacterium. RNAcentral's name for it is "bacterial SSU rRNA". It matches the Rfam family "Bacterial small subunit ribosomal RNA", at positions 371 to 880 of the family's 1533-position model. The record is from RNAcentral. Lineage: Bacteria; Bacillati; Chloroflexota.
AUGGGCGAAAGCCUGACGCAGCAACGCCGCGUGCGGGAUGACGGCCUUCGGGUUGUAAACCGCUUUUCUGUGGGAAGAGGAAGGACGGUACCACAGGAAUAAGUCUCGGCUAACUACGUGCCAGCAGCCGCGGUAAAACGUAGGAGGCGAACGUUAUCCGGAUUUACUGGGUGUAAAGCGCGUGCAGGCGGUGGCGUAAGUCGUGUGUGAAAGCGCUCAGGCUCAACCGGGCGAGGACAGGCGAAACUGCGUCACUUGAGGCAGGUAGAGGCGUGUGGAAUUCCGGGUGUAGUGGUGAAAUGCGUAGAUAUCCGGAGGAACACCAGUGGCGAAGGCGACACGCUGGGCCUGACCUGACGCUAAGGCGCGAAAGCAUGGGUAGCGAACGGGAUUAGAAACCCCGGUAGUCCAUGCCGUAAACGAUGCGUACUAGGUGUUGCGGUGUAGAAACUGCAGUGCCGAAGCCAACGUGAUAAGUACGCCACCUGGGGAC